This 484-nucleotide ribosomal RNA is filed under the name uncultured bacterium. RNAcentral describes it as "partial 16S ribosomal RNA". It matches the Rfam family "Bacterial small subunit ribosomal RNA", at positions 29 to 507 of the family's 1533-position model. The record is from RNAcentral.
AGUGAACGCUGGCGGCAGGCCUAACACAUGCAAGUCGAGCGGCAGCGGGUCCUUCGGGCUGCCGGCGAGCGGCGGACGGGUGAGAAAUGCGUCGGAAUCUGCCUUUUUGUGGGGGAUAACGUAGGGAAACUUACGCUAAUACCGCAUACGACCUACGGGUGAAAGUGGGGGACCGCAAGGCCUCACGCAGAAAGAUGAGCCGACGUCGGAUUAGCUAGUUGGCGGGGUAAAGGCCCACCAAGGCGACGAUCCGUAGCUGGUCUGAGAGGAUGAUCAGCCACACUGGAACUGAGACACGGUCCAGACUCCUACGGGAGGCAGCAGUGGGGAAUAUUGGACAAUGGGCGCAAGCCUGAUCCAGCCAUGCCGCGUGUGUGAAGAAGGCCUUCGGGUUGUAAAGCACUUUUGUCCGGAAAGAAAUCCUGUCGGCUAAUACCCGGCGGGGAUGACGGUACCGGAAGAAUAAGCACCGGCUAACUUCGUG